GGAGUGCUUGCACUCUGUGAAACAAGAUACAGGCUAGCGGCGGACGGGUGAGUAACACGUGGGUAACCUGCCCAAGAGAUCGGGAUAACACCUGGAAACAGAUGCUAAUACCGGAUAACAACAGAUGAUGCCUAUCAACUGUUUAAAAGAUGGUUCUGCUAUCACUCUUGGAUGGACCUGCGGUGCAUUAGCUAGUUGGUAGGGUAACGGCCUACCAAGGCGAUGAUGCAUAGCCGAGUUGAGAGACUGAUCGGCCACAUUGGGACUGAGACACGGCCCAAACUCCUACGGGAGGCAGCAGUAGGGAAUCUUCCACAAUGGACGCAAGUCUGAUGGAGCAACGCCGCGUGAGUGAAGAAGGGCUUCGGCUCGUAAAGCUCUGUUGUUGGUGAAGAAGGACAGGGGUAGUAACUGACCUUUGUUUAACGGUAAUCAAUUAGAAAGUCACGGCUAACUACGUGCCAGCAGCCGCGGUAAUACGUAGGUGGCAAGCGUUGUCCGGAUUUAUUGGGCGUAAAGCGAGUGCAGGCGGCUCGAUAAGUCUGAUGUGAAAGCCUUCGGCUCAACCGGAGAAUUGCAUCAGAAACUGUCGAGCUUGAGUACAGAAGAGGAGAGUGGAACUCCAUGUGUAGCGGUGAAAUGCGUAGAUAUAUGGAAGAACACCGGUGGCGAAGGCGGCUCUCUGGUCUGUUACUGACGCUGAGGCUCGAAAGCAUGGGUAGCGAACAGGAUUAGAUACCCUGGUAGUCCAUGCCGUAAACGAUGAGUGCU
This 771-nucleotide ribosomal RNA is filed under the name uncultured bacterium. RNAcentral describes it as "bacterial SSU rRNA". It matches the Rfam family "Bacterial small subunit ribosomal RNA", at positions 73 to 817 of the family's 1533-position model. The record is from RNAcentral.